Molecule: long non-coding RNA, 874 nt
Organism: Apis cerana (Asiatic honeybee)
Lineage: Eukaryota; Metazoa; Arthropoda; Insecta; Hymenoptera; Apidae
Source: RefSeq, a predicted model, not a curated record
GUGGCGCAUGACGUGAUGUCAUUCUGCUGACGAAAAUCGUGGUGACAGGACGCCCAUCAUCCCGCUCGAGAUGCUGAAUUUCAAUCGUGAAUAUUAUAAUCGUGUUGGAAUAUUGCGUCGUCACUUAACCUUUAUAAACAACCUCGUAGCAUGACUCAUGGGAACGUUUCGACGUAAAUUUAAGCAGGAAAAUAGCUGUUCAUUUUCGAGCAAAGAAGAAAAAUUGAAGAAAUAUGAAGAUAAAAUAGUUUUCUUUUUCUCAUCUAUCGCGUGUGCGACUGCGCGCAAUGCAGUUAGUAGAAAUAUUGUUUUUUAAUAGUAUUUAUAACAAUUUUCAGAACAAGUUUUCAAAAUUGAAAGUAGUUUUUUCUAAUUUUAUGUAAGUUUAAUUGCAAGUGCUCAUACAUGAAAUUAGAAAUAUUUGCCAAAUAUUUGAACAUGUAAUUUGAAUGAAUAUGUUAGAAAUUUUUUUUUUCUUACAUAAUGUGAAUUCGUUUUUAAUAUUCUUUGCAACAUAGAGUCAGUGCUCCUCUCAAGAAGAUCCAACGAUGUUCCUAGCUUCUGAAAUGAUUUAAAUCCUAAUGGCGGUAGUACAAUUUCCAUGCCCUUGAAACACGGAUCCUCGCCGUCCCCGGGUAGCCACGGAAUAAUUACGCUGCUCACGGACAACCGUCUCGAAUCGUUCUUGCAGUCAUCAGUCUCUUUCGCGGAGCAAACAUUAAGCGGCAACCGCUCCGCCAAAUCGUUCGCACCUACGAAUUUCAUUUGCCUUGGCCAAUGAAAUCAACUCCCUCGCGUAUUCCAUCUCCAACUAUCUCCAAGCCCUACCUUUCAACAUUCCAUUUCUAUUUCUAUUCUAUUAAAAAAUAUAUAU